Long non-coding RNA from Colossoma macropomum (tambaqui), 294 nucleotides. RefSeq lists it as uncharacterized. Lineage: Eukaryota; Metazoa; Chordata; Actinopteri; Characiformes; Serrasalmidae. The transcript is spliced from 3 exons. The record is from RefSeq and is a predicted model, not a curated record.
GCACUUUCAGCUCUUCAUCAUCUGCACUCAGACUUCUGCAGCCAUGGUUCUCAGUGGAGCUCUGAGAGUGGUCCUGCUCUGUCUUCUCUCUCUCUGUCUGAGAGGUGCUGAAGUUCUGGACCGUCUGAGAGGAAAUGAAGUUCCGGAAGUGAACCCUGAAAUACUCUGGCUUGCAUCAUCAAUGACCUUCACACCAGGUACAAUCCACAACAUGGACAUCAGUUUGCACUGGCCAUCAACGUUCCAGUUCAUUACUGUGAAAAUAAGGACUCUAAACCUGAUGAACGUUUUCUC